CAGCAGUAGCCGCGGUAAUACAGAUGGUGCGAGCGUUAAUCGGAUUUACUGGGCGUAAAGCGUGCGUAGGCGGCUUUUUAAGUCGGAUGUGAAAUCCCUGAGCUUAACUUAGGAAUUGCAUUCGAUACUGGGAAGCUAGAGUAUGGGAGAGGAUGGUAGAAUUCCAGGUGUAGCGGUGAAAUGCGUAGAGAUCUGGAGGAAUACCGAUGGCGAAGGCAGCCAUCUGGCCUAAUACUGACGCUGAGGUACGAAAGCAUGGGGAGCAAACAGGAUUAGAUACCCGAGUAGUCCCUGUCUCUUAUAA
Molecule: ribosomal RNA, 304 nt
Filed under: uncultured bacterium
Lineage: Bacteria
Description: partial 16S ribosomal RNA
Rfam family: Bacterial small subunit ribosomal RNA
Source: RNAcentral